ACCUGCUUGUGGUUGUGUGGCUUUUCCAAGGUCAGAGUCAUGGUGCUGGCUGUUCCAGCCCUGGAGGACACAGUUUUUGAGCUCCUAUCUGUAAAGUCUAGUUGCAAAUUGAUCCUGGAGAUGAUUGGCACAGGAAUGCCAUUUGUUUUUAAAGGGAAUUACCCAUCCCAGCUGCUUCUGGGGCUUAGCAAAGCCCAGAAUAGCACACGUAAAUAAUCUUAUAAUGAUGACCCUUUUUACUUUGCUGCCCACAACACGAGAGGCCCAAAGGAAUUAGGCAAAUGACAGCAGUAACUUCCCCACUAGCAAGCAGAGGUCCCCUCAGAGGUUUUGUGUACAGCAGCAAAAUGUCCUUUCUGCAGCAAGUCCCAGAAAUCCCACCCCAGUAAAGAGCAUCCGAGCUGCAGGCAGGGCCUUCACUUUGGGCAGGAGCUUUAGACAAGCCUCCUAAAGUAUACAGGAACAAAAGCUGGGUUUGUUUUUUUUUUGCCCAGUUUUAGUUUUCAUGGCUUUUAUUGAUUUUUGGAUCACUGAGCUGAUGUGGGAAACAGGCUUCUGCUAAAGGUGAACAGGAAAGUUGCAGCUUUGUAUCACAAUCUCCGCAGUUUGCUCUCCCAACAGAUAAUUCUGCACCUGCAAAAACAUUGGUCGCUUUGUGCCUCUUUAUUAUGUUUGGGGAGGGAGGAAAAGACCCAUCUGAUCUUUCCAGGGUAGGUUUGAAGGUCAGAAAUCAGUGAGAAAAAGCAGAUUUCCUCUCCCUGCUGACUUGUAAGUGCCCUACAGCUCAUCCUGGAGCCAAGGUGGCUCGGCAUUGCCACCAAUAGUUAGGGAGAUACCCUGACAGUGUUUGGAGCUGUGUGAUGGCCCAGGGCUCACUGCAAGCUUCAUCCUGGUGCAGUGCAGUCUGCACCUUGCCACCAUCACCCCUGUCCUCUGAGAGCCACCUUCCCUGGGGUCUACACAUAUAUAUGGGAAAGAGGCGUGUAUCACGGCAGUGCAGAAGUGUGGCAGCACACCCCUCACUUCCAGAGGAUGCUCUACAGAAGGUUCUGUGCUCCUGAGGCUAACCAGAGAAAAGAAGACUUGGUGUCUGCUUCCAGCAUGUACCCAUCUGUCCCAAAACCUGCACGGAGAGGGAGACAUGGAUCCCUGGAGAGUGUGGUGAGUGCUGAGCAGUCAGGAGGGAUGGCAGGACCUUCCUGCUUUGGCCUUCAGACUAAUCCCUCAGUUCAGCUGCCCCUUGCUGACCAUCCCUGAGCUCUACCAGCCCCAUUCCAUGCCCCAUUGCAGGUGGGUGCCAUGGGAAGGGGUUUUACCCCAGGCUGGGGCAGGAGAAAGAGCCCUAAACCAGCUUCUGGGCAGGAGCAGCUCCCAGCCCCAUGAGUCUGCAAAACCCACCCCUAUCUCAGCACUGUUAUCUUCCAACGGGGUAAAUAUUUUGUGAAUGCAUUGGAAGGAGGAGGACUGGUAAACGUGGUUUUGCUGGAAAAUGUUACUGUGUUGGGAACAGGGAUGGCUGAACUCCCCCUUAUCUGUGCUGGCUGAGGAGCAGGGGGCAGCUGGGGGGUCCUCCAAUGGCACUGGCAGCAACGCUGCACCACAAACCAACUUGCCCUUCUGCACUAAACCAAAGCAUUUUAGUUAUUUGCCUUCAGUUCUGCUGUUUGUCUGCCUUCUGUAUUUAUUAUUCAGUGCUGUUUUUCUUCUCCCUGCCCCGUGCUCCAGCAAUUAAGAUAACAUUGGCUUUGGUUGGGCUCAGAGCAUCCCGUCGGUGUGCAGGGAACAUCAGUGCCACUCUGUGGGCAGUGGGAUGCUGGAAAAAAUACCCCAUGUCCCAUGUUCCCAUUUAAAAUCCCUACUAAAACCUGAACCUGAUGGCAAAAGCAUUAUAAUGAAACAGGGACUUAAAUCAUGCUUAGCCUGAGCUGCUGUGGAGAGGUGGUGUUUGAACUGUCUUCCUAAGUUAAAUUACUUUAUAAAAUAAUAUCUGUUAACAGAAUAUCAAACCUUUUCUCUCUAAUUUGAA
This is a long non-coding RNA of Apus apus (common swift), 2026 nucleotides long. RefSeq lists it as uncharacterized. The transcript is spliced from 3 exons. Lineage: Eukaryota; Metazoa; Chordata; Aves; Apodiformes; Apodidae. The record is from RefSeq and is a predicted model, not a curated record.